UCGUUGCUGCUCUCGGCAAUAUUAAUCGGGACCGGAAAUACAGCAGUUUACUGCUUCACCGGCCACCGUCUCUUCACCACCGCCACUGAAGCGAAUCUGCAUAAUUGAUUAUACGCGUCUCCCCUGCCACUGGUUAUGAUUUGAUUGGCGGCCGCAACUAUAGGGUUCGACUGCGUCCUCCCUUAUUAUUAUUGUUAUCUGCUGCAUGUGUAAUCGAAUCAAACGUUUUUUGCGAACGAUACGUACGAUUUUAAUAAUUUCGUCCAUUACAUUUUGUCGCGUAUUGAUUUAUAAAUUAUGACCAACUUCUUCGAACUUUUUUUUUAUAUCUUCAAUACUUCUGUACUUGUGCAUAUGUAUACUGUCUAUGUACUAUAAUCAAACGCUUGUGUGCCAAACUCUCCGAUACAUUUUCAAGGACGAUAAGUCACGUAGAAAACUAACAAUAAGGCGAAUAUGCCAGGUAAAGAAGAGAAGAGGGCAACUGUUUUGAAUGCGUUCAUUAAGCCACGGGGAAGAACGUUACACCGGACGAUUAACUUAUUAACCUGUCUUCAUAAUAUCUGCAUAACGAUGCGACUUCAUUAGGCGUCGUACACCACUCCCGUGCUUGGCUUUGCGUGUGUGCGUGCACGCCUGUUGCUUGCACGCGCGUGUUGCACGCCUCAACGUUCAUUGGACAGUCUCACACGCGCUCGACAUUCCUACACACGUGUACGGGGCUCGUGUGUAGUGAGGAGCCAGUGUGAAAAGAAGGACAGAAAAGGAGAGCGGCGAGAGCGAAAGAGAGGCAGCAAACGGAGAAAAUUAAAUAAGAGGGAGAAGGAGAGAGCGAAACAAACUGGCAGAUCGAAAAAGGUAAUGUAUAAAUACGAGACCACCCACCGCGAUGCCGAGCCCGACACCCUGUUCCACCAAAUACGAGACAAUUUUCGAUUCUGAUACGGACGGUCGUUGCUUUUUUAUUUUCUUCUCCGAUUCCAGGGACCUUGUGGCAGUUUUCGUUGACUGUCUCGAAGCUUCGAACAGGAGAUUGAUACAACAACGCCAUAAGGACUUCCCAUUAAUGUCAACGGCGAGAGAGUUGGCGCUUAUCGAUUAGGAAAUAUUAAUUUCGGAUAAUAUUGAAACGAAAAAUCAAAUGGCAAGUAUCGGUUCGUGUUAGCCCGAAAGCGGUGCAAAGGAGCACCGACGUUCGUUGUUUGCGUAACAGUAACAUAAUAUCCGCGCGUGAUACAAGCGACGCAGCGCCACGUAGAAAUAAAACGGGUGGUCGACCUGUUCUUCUCGCGUUGCGAAAUUACCGCUGUGUUUAUCAGGCUUUUGUACGGAAACCUUCACAAGCUUUUAAACGAUCCACCAUUAACUUCUUUCCGAGCAUCGAUAAUCGUAAAUUAAUAUAUCGUAGGACAUUAAUUAAAUCCUGCCUCUAGUUGCUUUUCUUUCGUUUUAAUUUAUAGACGUUUAACCAAAGAUCGGUUAUUGCUUGGUUGUUUCUCACUGUUUCGAAAGUUCCACACGACGAACCUCCGAUACAUUCAUAAAUCUUCAAUGAAAGAGAAAUUAGUUGAUCGACGAGGGAAUAAAUUUCGUGAGUACGAAGUCUCGGAUACGAAUUAAGGGCACGAAGCAGAACGAAAAAGGAGUGGAAAUGUCAUUGCAUAUUAUGGUGGCGGUUUCGACGAAUACAUACAUCCUACUGCAGUUGCCGAUCUGGCGAUAAGGCACAGCGUGCGGAGGGACCGUUAAUAAUUUUUACGACACUCUUAACUCGCCACCCAGUAUUAAGCGGUCCUCCGUAGAAGACGAGCUUUGAUCUUUGCCGACGCUGCAUCGACUUAAUGAGUGCGAGAGCGAGAUAGUCGCGCAACCAGGAUGAAACAGAGCGCACGACUGGCGCACCGCAGUCCCCUGUAGAUCUAUUUUCCGCAAUGUGCACCGCUGCAGUUCGGGUUGCAUCUCUACAGGCUUCCUACUGUGUGCUUUCAUCUACGAUGAAACGUUACUGUUCUGGAACAGUAGCGUAAAAAGUAAGAAUUUUUCUCGGUCGAAAUUGACUUUAAUUAGAUGUGUUGGAUUGCCAUGAUGGAAUUUUAUGAAUGCCAGAAGACUGUAUUUUAUAGCUGUUCUUAUGGCUCUUUACUGUAAUAAUGACAAGUAUUUUUCUCUUGCUGUUUAAUAUCAUCGUUAAUUAUUUUAAAGGACUUUUACUGUUCUUGUCUGUCUUUUAAAUAUGCAGUGGCCUGCAAAAAUCUCUGGGCAGAUAGAUUUUUCGUUUCGCGUUUGCAUACGUCGAAUAUUGAUAUUCCAUGAUCGGCGUCCAGUUUUUACACGAACAAUCAUCGUUUCUCGGUUCAUAAGUAUCUAUUAAAACAUGUUGAAGAUUGACGCCAUAACAACUAAUUAGCAGAGUAGCGUAUAAUCGCUAUGCGGAUUAUCUUCAUGACUGAAAUACUCGUUUCAUAAUUCCAUGGAUAUUCCGGAUAUUUCUCCAUUAAAAGAGUCCUUCCAUCGCCACUUUAUUUUCUCCUCACCUCUUAUCUAUCUUACGUGCUCUUCAUUAGCGAGCUUAAAAAUCGCGACAACGUAAAAACCAAGCACGCACGCACAUAUUUAAUUAAGAAAAAGAUGAAGACCAACGUAGGUAAGAAGAAAGCCGGCAAAACGACGCACGAUCCGGUCUUUCGCCUGUGCCUCCUAACAUGAAGAACGCCACUAAAAACCCAUCGAUUUAAAAGCAGAAAACGUCGAAACGUCGACAAGGACAAAAGGAGGCGCCGAUGUCAUACACGAGGGAAAUAAAGAAGGGGGACACAUCGGGCAACAAUAAGCGACAAUAAGACGAAAAAAUACGUGCGCCAGCGACGCACGGCGGGGAAAAAGAAAAAGAAAUGAACGAAGAGUAACAUGGAGAAGGAUAGAUGCCGAUGAAGUAAGGAGCGACGUAACCAGACGGAAAAAGAGAGAAGAGAAGGCCGAACCAGCCGGCGAAACAUGGAAGAAGGAGAAACUCUCGGGAUGAGAGAAUGGAGAAUGGGCGUGGGGGAAGAAGAGAAGUCGACUACUUCCCUUACGCAAGACGACUCGGUGCGCCACGUUCGUUCACUGCGUUGGCCGCGCUCAACGGUGCGUGCACAUGAGAGACACGAGAGAUGCUAUCGGCCACCAAGACGGCUCUCGACUUCUCCAGACCACCCACCGGCAAAAUAAUAAACACGGAAUGCGGCAUACACGUCCGUCCAUCCGUCCGUCCAUUCGUUUGUUUCUAUUUCGCAGAUACCAUCGAAAAUAAGGUCUCCCGUCGAUACCGCAGCUGGCUAUCGCCGAUACUAUGCGCCUUCUGCCGUGUUACUGUUGGGUUGCAAUAACUUGCUGAAUUUGAGGUCGACUACUACCGUGCUCGCGACAGGAGAUCGCUCGACGCGUGAUCUCUUUACCGGUAAUGAGUAAAGCAGUAACGAGCUACGAAUAUUAUUCGCUGGAAAAUGCAGACGCGACUGUGCAACAUCUUAAUCCGACGUGAUCGAUGACUGUGAGAUAGACAUUGUGGUUAGUUAGCUUGGUCGCAGCUUUGGGGAUUCGGUAGAGUUUUCAAGAAGAAGUUAGGAAGUUAUCGAGACACGGGCAGCACGUUCGACUGUGUUGACGUUAUUAAUGUCUUUAUUGUAACUGAUAUAUAUUUGAUAUAGAAGAAAUCGGAAAUCGUGGUACGAGCGUGGUGAAUGUAAAUGAAAGGAUAUGUGGAGAAAGAAAGAAUAACGUGUUUUUGUUUUCGUUUUAACUUGUGCAUUAACUGCACGUUUCCAAUUAUGAACUUGUGUUUCUGCUCGUGUCUUAAACAAGGCAUUAUUAAACGUUAUUAAAUAUGGACAAUUUGCUUCUUCGUUAAUGAAGCGAUUCUUAAGAAAGGAUUGCGGUUUUCCGUCUGCCGGUAUUGUCCAACAUCAUCGUUAAGCCGAAUGCAGAGAUGACUAAUGCCAAGGAUCGGAGGCGCGGCUCUUCCAACAGAGGAUCGUCCUUUACCAUUGUAACAAGGCGAAUCGUUACUCUUCAUCACGGGUGUAGACCGGCUGGCUGAGACCAAGAGAGACGGACGAACAAGAUCGUAACCUGUGGCUAUCUGCAUCUACGAACAGCUACCGGUGCUUCUCGUCGAUGGAUUAUCUACGACGAUACGCCCGCCGUUGUUGUCUGGCCGUGUGGCGCCGAAACGCCAUGGGGACGUGGACUUCCGGUGUUGGCCAGCCGACAAUUCUUCUACAAAUUCCGUUCCGGACGAACAAUUGUCAUUAUCUUGGUUGACUCGGCGCAUUCUUCCUGCCUCUUCCUCGUUUCCCCUCUCGAUACGCGCCUGUGUUAGAGAUACGAUCGACGUGGCGGGUUCGGUCGGUACCGUGAUCGGUCAACGAUUGGUAAUUAUCGGCUGAUUACACGGAGCCAGAGUCACGCGUUAAUUAAAUGGUUACGCUGGCGGUGAGAAUUGGAGCUGAACGUAUCUCACAGGUUCAUGCAGCAGUUAACUGUUGUGUUUUUUCUCUACGGCCUUGUUCGUGCGAGCUUCUCGGUGGCUUCCAAUGUCGAAUUUUAUCGACGGAGAUGCGUCAGCUAAUUUACACGGAAAGUAUUCGAACGAUUAUUCUGUAAAAUUUGUAACACAUACGUAUGUAAUGUUAUAUGGAACUCGUUGAAACUUCGUUGGUAUUUUUAUUAACAUUAAUAUUUUAUUAUCAUAUAAUCUAUCAGCAGCAUAGCGGUAAAACUAGCUAAUGGGGUUUUGUAAAUUUUUUGUAUAACACACAUGACACAGUUGCCAACCCAAUAACUAGAAAAUAAUAACUAGAGCUAAUGAAUCGUAGUUUAUCUUCGGUCGAAACAUUUAUUAAUUUUCUUUAAUGUUAAUAUAAUGGUCACAUUAACAACUGAGGAGAUGUUAGCAGGUUUAGUUCUACAACCUUCAUCCGUUACACUUUGAAAACUAAUUUAAUGGUUGAGUAACUUUCCUCCAUGGUAUAUUAUUAUUGUGUAUUAUAUAAAUUAAACAAGAUAAGACAGUAUAGUAAUUAGAAUACCUUUUUACGUCUUUAUAGCGUACACAGUGUCAGUGGUAAAUCAUUUUACAAGUACAUAGUAAGAUUAAAUAUCCUGCACUUUCGCAAUAUAUAUUUAACCACUUUGAAAUAAUUAAAAUGUAAGAGAAAGCAAUAAAUAGCAAUAGUAAUUUAUGUUUCUAUAUAUAAUACGUACGUUGUACCAAGAAAAACGAAGUAUUUAAUUAUCUUCCGCGUCGUGAAAGGCUUUUACGGAAGAAUUAUUUACAAAAAAAAAAAGAGUUAGAUAGUUCCGUAAUGACGAUGACACGCAGAAUAUAAAACGAAGUGAUGUAGCGUGUUCUUUGUUUCUUUUUACGACUGAAAAUUAUUCUAUGAAAAUUGGACGUUAUUACUAUACACAAUUUCCGCUUCCGCAAUCGCUAUCACACCGCGGUUUUACGCACACGAUAUAACAUUUACUUCCUUAAUACGCCACUGCACUAAUUUCACUGCCCUCGUGUAAAUAAACAUAAUCUUAUACCACGUACAGUAAUUUCAAAACGAAACGUCGCAACUUUUUCGAAACCGAAAGCAUCAUAUUUAUUUUGGAAAAAGGCAUAAAUAACUAUGAGUCGAAAAUGAAGCAAAUAAUAAUUUGCACAUUAUCGUCCACACACUACUAUAAUGAAAUACAAAGGAUGAAACGCUGCGCGUAUUAACCUUGAACAUGUUCAGCAAAUUAUUUACAAGACGUGUACAACAUACAAAACUGAAACAAAAACACCGAUGAACUGAUUCAGAUUUUCCGAAUCAAAGAUACUUAUUUCAUGUAAGUUAGUAUUGCAGUGUCGUGGACGAAAGGCCUAAGAGAUAUCGGGCGAACUAUAAACAAUGUCGUGAGAAAGCCGAAGUGCCGACAGGCCCAACAAUGUAUCGUCGGUCCUUCAAUCGAACAGUUUCGCGGAAAAGGCCUGCGUGACCCUGGCCAUGAGCGGUUGCGGAACACGUGCGCGGUGGGGCUUAGACAAAAGACAAAGCAUGCUAAGG
Long non-coding RNA from Bombus impatiens (common eastern bumble bee), 6077 nucleotides. RefSeq lists it as uncharacterized. The record is from RefSeq and is a predicted model, not a curated record. The transcript is spliced from 2 exons. NCBI's taxonomy places the organism in Eukaryota, Metazoa, Arthropoda, Insecta, Hymenoptera, Apidae.